AGUGAACGCUGGCGGUAGGCCUAACACAUGCAAGUCGAACGGCAACACAGUAAGAGCUUGCUCUUACGGGUGGCGAGUGGCGGACGGGUGAGGAAUACAUCGGAAUCUACUUUUUCGUGGGGGAUAACGUAGGGAAACUUGCGCUAAUACCGCAUACGACCUACGGGUGAAAGCAGGGGAUCUUCGGACCUUGCGCGAUUGAAUGAGCCGAUGUCGGAUUAGCUAGUUGGCGGGGUAAAGGCCCACCAAGGCGACGAUCCGUAGCUGGUCUGAGAGGAUGAUCAGCCACACUGGAACUGAGACACGGUCCAGACUCCUACGGGAGGCAGCAGUGGGGAAUAUUGGACAAUGGGCGCAAGCCUGAUCCAGCCAUACCGCGUGGGUGAAGAAGGCCUUCGGGUUGUAAAGCCCUUUUGUUGGGAAAGAAAAGCAGCAGGUUAAUACCCCGCUGUUCUGACGGUACCCAAAGAAUAAGCACCGGCUAACUUCGUG
Molecule: ribosomal RNA, 492 nt
Filed under: uncultured bacterium
Lineage: Bacteria
Description: partial 16S ribosomal RNA
Rfam family: Bacterial small subunit ribosomal RNA
Source: RNAcentral